GGGGUGUUAGCUCAGCUUGGUUAGAGUGCCUGCCUGUCACGCAGGAGGUCGCGAGUUCGAGUCUCGUACACCCCGC
This 76-nucleotide transfer RNA is filed under the name Spirochaetes bacterium ADurb.BinA120. RNAcentral describes it as "tRNA-Asp". It matches the Rfam family "tRNA". Rfam says of the family: Transfer RNA (tRNA) molecules are approximately 80 nucleotides in length. Lineage: Bacteria; Pseudomonadati; Spirochaetota. The record is from RNAcentral.